UAGUGAAUUGAGUAUCACAUA
This 21-nucleotide small nuclear RNA is filed under the name Arabidopsis thaliana (thale cress). RNAcentral's name for it is "snRNA_13090". Lineage: Eukaryota; Viridiplantae; Streptophyta; Magnoliopsida; Brassicales; Brassicaceae. The record is from RNAcentral.